UACGUAGGGGGCAAGCGUUGUCCGGAAUCACUGGGCGUAAAGCGCACGUAGGCGGCUUUCUAAGUCAGGGGUGAAAUCCUGGAGCUCAACUCCAGAACUGCCUUUGAUACUGGAGAGCUUGAGUCCGGAAGAGGUGAGUGGAACUCCGAGUGUAGAGGUGAAAUUCGUAGAUAUUCGGAAGAACACCAGUGGCGAAGGCGGCUCACUGGUCCGGUACUGACGCUGAGGUGCGAAAGCGUGGGGAGCAAACAGG
This 253-nucleotide ribosomal RNA is filed under the name uncultured bacterium. Its description in RNAcentral is "partial 16S ribosomal RNA". It matches the Rfam family "Bacterial small subunit ribosomal RNA", at positions 524 to 776 of the family's 1533-position model. The record is from RNAcentral.